RNAcentral lists this non-coding RNA (18 nucleotides) under Arabidopsis thaliana (thale cress). RNAcentral also lists the same sequence under 2 other names. The record is from RNAcentral. Lineage: Eukaryota; Viridiplantae; Streptophyta; Magnoliopsida; Brassicales; Brassicaceae.
CUAAUCGAACCAUCUAGU